This is an unclassified non-coding RNA of Mesocricetus auratus (golden hamster), 328 nucleotides long. Its record names the gene 7SK. It matches the Rfam family "7SK RNA". Rfam says of the family: 7SK was discovered as an abundant small nuclear RNA in the mid-70s but a possible function has only recently been suggested. Two independent studies have found that 7SK RNA binds the CDK9/cyclin T complex (known as elongation factor P-TEFb). The record is from Ensembl. NCBI's taxonomy places the organism in Eukaryota, Metazoa, Chordata, Mammalia, Rodentia, Cricetidae.
GGGUGUCCAGACAAUGUAACUAUGAGAUCUGUCUCGCCAUUGAUCUGGGUAUUGAUUUAGCUGAUCUGGUUGACUACAUUAGUGUCACUUUCCUUCCUCCUGGUAGUGCUGUGUGUAUCCCUCCAGAAGCAUGCUCUUGAUAGAAAAAGACAACCUCCCCCAACAGAGAAAGACCAUUUUUAGGUUAAGGGCACACAAAUGAGCCACUGCUGUGACUAGAGCUUGCAAACAAACUGUCGGGGGUAUCAGCUAUACUGAACUAGGUCUCAGCCUGGCAGCUUCAGAUCCAAGUACAGUCGUGUUCUGAAGUUAGAGGGUGGGACUCUGU